RNAcentral lists this non-coding RNA (30 nucleotides) under Mus musculus (house mouse). The record is from RNAcentral. Lineage: Eukaryota; Metazoa; Chordata; Mammalia; Rodentia; Muridae.
UCCAUUAUCUGUUUUAAGAAUUUUGGGUUG